Molecule: ribosomal RNA, 119 nt
Filed under: Pteropus alecto (black flying fox)
Lineage: Eukaryota; Metazoa; Chordata; Mammalia; Chiroptera; Pteropodidae
Source: RNAcentral
GUCUACAGCCAUGCUACCCUGAACAUGCCCAAUUCCGACCGAUCUCAGAAGCUAAGCAGGAUCGAGCCUGGUUAGUACUUGGACGGGAAACCACAUAGGAAGAUCAGGUGCUGUAGGCA